ACGGAGCCAUGACCCCGGCUCGGUUCCCUCUCACCCCCUCCCCUCACCGCACACAGCGCAUGCGCCAUCUCCAUGUGCAGCGCCUGGAACAGCGGCGAGUCAGCCAUGGCCGCCGUUCCGCCUUCCGGGAUUGGACACCGCGUGACUGAUCAUGUGACCUAUCUGCUCGUGGAUCAUGUGACCUGACUCCAUCAGUGCCGUUCCUGUUCCGCCUCCGCGAUAGCGGGUGGCUGAAGUCCAAGGAUGGCAGCGCCCCAGUACAAAGCAGUGGUUCAAGGGGAAGCAUCUGAGACUGAUUCAGAUGAAGAAGUUUAUCUGUCAUCUGUUCCUCAGGCCUCCUUCCCCAGCCUCUCUGGUGUGAAAGUCCUCGGGGAAGCGUCUGAGACCGAUGACGAAGACGAAGGGAGCCCAAGUGGGCACAAAGUCAAGUCUAAGCUAGUUGACCUGGACCUGCCUCCCCUGAUUGUCAUCAGAAAGGAGGAGCCAAGGUCUCCUAUGGGAAUAGAAGAGAAACCUGCCCUUCGUAUCCAGCACGAGGGGCGCUACAGCACCUUGCUGCAGCAGAAGCUGAUUGAGAGCAAUGCCCGCUUGUACUACGAUGUCAGCAGCACCAUCAAGCAGGUGUAUCAAAUGGCCACCAAGGAACUCGGCACCAUCACUGCACAGCUCAGCAACUCACAGAGCGGCAUCAUCAAUGCCUCGCACAAUAUCCGCCUCAUUCUGGAUGACUUGCAAGCUGUGGCUGACAAGAUGGACAUCGUCACCAGCUGCAACCUGCUGCCUGAUAUCCAGAUGGAGCUGCCUCCUGCAUAACCUUCCCCUUCUCUUGGAACUAGGGGACCUGAGCUACUCUGUUCUGUUGGCAGCUUGGAGUGCUGGGCUGGUUGGUUACUGGUUACUGAUGGGCACUGGCUUGUCAAAAUGAUGGGAUGUGGAAUAUCAAAUGGAGCUGCUUUAGCCCUGAUGGGUCUUUGUAGUUUUGAUGAUGACAAUGCUGCCCAGCUAGUCCCAAGCGAAUUAAUGACCAAGAUCUCGGGGAACACUGCUCCCAACAUGCACAAAGGUCUCAUGCAACUGUUGCUUAAUAGAACUGCUGUUAAUAUUAUCAUGUGGCUGGAGCUAAUUCCAAGAAAUAAGUGCAGUGGAUGCACUGAAAGGUCUGUGCUUUAGGGUAACACUUUCAGAGUUGUAUGUCCAGCACGUGUCUGAAGGCCAAGGACAGUGCCUGUCCUGUAGCUGAUGAGGGGUCACACAAGGUGGUGUCCUUGACCUUGUCUUCUCCCUCUACACCCUUUCUUUGUCAUCUCCUCCACUCACCUGGCUUCAAUGACCAUCUUUACACUGAUGACUCAACCCUACUUGUCCAGUCCUACAUCACCAUCUGUCUCUGUAUCCUCCUUGGUCAUGCCUUCCUUUAGCGUAGCGGUGAGUAUCCCUGCCUGUUAUGCGGGAGACAGGGUUCAAUUUCCUGACAGAGACGCUUCACUUGAUUAUGUGACGUGGUAGCCUGCAAUACCAGAGGACUGGAUGUGAUGACCCAGGAGGUGCCUUACAGUCCUGUGUAUCUUCCUCCUGGAUGUCU
Molecule: RNA transcript, 1582 nt
Organism: Dermochelys coriacea (leatherback sea turtle)
Lineage: Eukaryota; Metazoa; Chordata; Testudines; Dermochelyidae
Gene: BLOC1S3
Gene name: biogenesis of lysosomal organelles complex 1 subunit 3
Exons: 3
Source: RefSeq, a predicted model, not a curated record